GCAGAGCACCAUAAUUUGUACACAAAAUGCCAAGAAGCAAAAAAGGAGAGGCAAGGCCGGUGUACAAUGGGGCAAAUCGAACAAUUAUCUCCCAAACAAGUAAGAAAGCUGUACUACUACUACUUAAAGCGUAAGUGACUUAUUUUCUUUAUUACAUUUAAAUUUAAAAAAUCUUAAACCGACGUACAAAAAGAAAAAUAAUUAAUAAAAAGACUAACAACAUUAAUGCAGGGACUGCAGUUGCAGUUUGUAAUUGGAUAAUUAAGAAUCGAUUCAUUCGGACAACAUAAAAGAAAACUAACAGGAGAAAUGGGAAAAUCUCUCUUGUUUUCAAUAUUUAAGGAAGCUUUUUUUUCGUAUAUUUUUUAUUAUGAAUGUCCAAGAUAUUAUGAAUACUUUGCCUAAGUUUCACAUCGAUCAUAAACAAAACUGACGAAGUUAUGCGUAGUAUCUAAAAGUUUAAAGCGCUCUCCUGAAAAGAUCCAUUUUGAAAGUUGGUGUACACGAUAGCCUAAAAUCUACUAUCGUUUUGAAAUUUGGAACAUUCAUUCCAAAGUAACUUAAUUUUUGAGUCAAAAAUCGAGAUUUUAACUUCCUAUUUUGAUAAAAGAAUUCAAUUAUUUUUGUUGAUAUCGGAUGAAUCAGUGGACAGUUGGAAUGUACACCACAAACCAAAUUUUUUGGAGGGUACUUGGGAGAUUUCCUAUUACGCAUAUACCUUUAAAUAUUUAUUAAUACAAUAUUAAACACAAAAUGGUAUUUAAUUGAAUAAGCUAACUUUGUAAUUAUCUUCAAAACGAACAAUUGUCCAAAAUCUUAGCACCAAUUAUAACCAAGAGCUAUAAGUUUCAAACUUUGUAAAGUUUAAAUAAUGUGUUUAGUUUAAUUGCGUACAAAUGUCGCCUUUGGCAUCAGAGAAUUGUCCAGAACAGACGGACAUGGCUAGAUCGACUCGGCUGUUGAUGCUGAUCAAGAAUAUGUAUACUUUAUAGGAUUGGUAUAAAAACAAUACAAUUAGAAUGCAUGUUGCCACUUAAUUGGGAGACUAUUGAUUUUAAUGUCUCUGACAUAUAUUUGUCAGAUUUCAAAUCUGUUAAUAUAUUUGCGAUACAAAAUCGUGGACGUAUGCCACAGUGCAGAGAUCGAUAAAUUAAUAUAGUGAGAGGAAAACCCCCGACGCAUGUGGAAAUGCAGGGAGAAAAGCCAAGAGGCCAGCAAAAUACGCGACGAGAGAAAAAGGUAACGAGAAAUAGGAGGAAUGAUAGCAAGAGGAGACAAGCAAUAAAUGGGACCACGACCGAAACAAUGCUGUUUUCCACGUUCGAAGCGCAGCAGACACGUUGCACUCCCAAACAUAUUGCAAAUACUCAGUGUCCUCCGAUCAGCUAUCCCGCCUCUCUCCCGCAAACGCCAGGACAGGGCUG
This is a long non-coding RNA of Drosophila kikkawai, 1424 nucleotides long. RefSeq lists it as uncharacterized. The record is from RefSeq and is a predicted model, not a curated record. NCBI's taxonomy places the organism in Eukaryota, Metazoa, Arthropoda, Insecta, Diptera, Drosophilidae.